Haliotis rubra (blacklip abalone) is the source of this 107-nucleotide long non-coding RNA. RefSeq lists it as uncharacterized. Lineage: Eukaryota; Metazoa; Mollusca; Gastropoda; Lepetellida; Haliotidae. The record is from RefSeq and is a predicted model, not a curated record. The transcript has 3 exons.
GGGAUAGGGGAUUAGUCCUUUCCGAGUGCCUUCGCGAAUGCUGAUCAUCUGAGUCCGCAUCUGGGGCGAGACGAUUGGUCCUUCGCGAGUGCCUGCGUGAAUGCUGA